This 326-nucleotide unclassified non-coding RNA is filed under the name Hevea brasiliensis (rubber tree). The record is from RNAcentral. Lineage: Eukaryota; Viridiplantae; Streptophyta; Magnoliopsida; Malpighiales; Euphorbiaceae.
GUUCUCCACAAAGCAGAGAAAAAGCAAAGACUCUCAUUGUGCUGAGGUACCAUGGCAAAUCAGUGCUCCAAUGAUGGUUCUAGUACAAGCAACACUUCUGGAGAAACUUCAGAUGCAACUGUAGAGCUCAAUAUCAAGACUCUAGAUUCUCAGAUUUACAGUUUUCAGGUGGAUAAAAAUAUUCCCGUUUCAGCAUUCAAGGAGAAAAUAGCUAAUGAAAUUGGUGUUCCAGUAGUUCAGCAAAGACUGAUUUUCCGGGGAAAGGUCUUGAAGGAUGAACAUCUCCUUUCGGAAUAUCAAGUGGAGAAUGGGCAUACCUUGCACUU